ACGGAAGGCAGCAGUGGGGAAUAUUGCGCAAUGGGCGAAAGCCUGACGCAGCGACGCCGCGUGAGGGAUGAAGGUCUUCGGAUCGUAAACCUCUGUCAGAAGGGAAGAAGUUACAUGGGGCUAAUCACUCAUGUAUUGACGGUACCUUCAAAGGAAGCACCGGCUAACUCCGUGCCAGCAGCCGCGGUAAUACGGAGGGUGCAAGCGUUAAUCGGAAUUACUGGGCGUAAAGCGCUCGUAGGCUGUCUUGCAAGUCAAGGGUGAAAUCCCCGUGCUCAACAUGGGAACUGCCUUUGAAACUGCAGGACUUGAGUAUGUGAGAGGAUAGCGGAAUUCCGGGUGUAGCAGUGAAAUGCGUAGAUAUUCGGAAGAACAUCAGUGGCGAAGGCGGCUAUCUGGCACAAAACUGACGCUGAGGAGCGAAAGCGUGGGUAGCAAACAGGAUUAGAUACCCUGGUA
Molecule: ribosomal RNA, 459 nt
Filed under: uncultured Bilophila sp.
Lineage: Bacteria; Pseudomonadati; Thermodesulfobacteriota; Desulfovibrionia; Desulfovibrionales; Desulfovibrionaceae
Description: bacterial SSU rRNA
Rfam family: Bacterial small subunit ribosomal RNA
Source: RNAcentral